Long non-coding RNA from Sinocyclocheilus grahami, 112 nucleotides. RefSeq lists it as uncharacterized. The transcript has 3 exons. NCBI's taxonomy places the organism in Eukaryota, Metazoa, Chordata, Actinopteri, Cypriniformes, Cyprinidae. The record is from RefSeq and is a predicted model, not a curated record.
UCAGCAUUCAUAUUGCCUUCAAAAGCCAGCAUCUCUGAUGGUAUGGGGGUGCAUAAGUGCAUACGGUAUGGGCAGCUUGCAUGUUUUGGAAGGCACUAUGAAUGCUGAAAGG